RNAcentral lists this ribosomal RNA (467 nucleotides) under uncultured bacterium. Its description in RNAcentral is "partial 16S ribosomal RNA". It matches the Rfam family "Bacterial small subunit ribosomal RNA", at positions 28 to 506 of the family's 1533-position model. The record is from RNAcentral.
GACGAACGCUGGCGGCGUGCUUAACACAUGCAAGUCGAACGGAAAGGCCCUGCUUUUGUGGGGUGCUCGAGUGGCGAACGGGUGAGUAACACGUGAGUAACCUGCCCUUGACUUUGGGAUAACUUCAGGAAACUGGGGCUAAUACCGGAUAGGAGCUCCUGCUGCAUGGUGGGGGUUGGAAAGUUUCGGCGGUUGGGGAUGGACUCGCGGCUUAUCAGCUUGUUGGUGGGGUAGUGGCUUACCAAGGCUUUGACGGGUAGCCGGCCUGAGAGGGUGACCGGCCACAGUGGGACUGAGAUACGGCCCAGACUCCUACGGGAGGCAGCAGUGGGGAAUAUUGCACAAGGGGCGGAAGCCUGAUGCAGCAACGCCGCGUGCGGGAUGACGGCCUUCGGGUUGUAAACCGCUUUCGCCUGUGACGAAGCGUGAGUGACGGUAAUGGGUAAAGAAGCACCGGCUAACUACGU